Molecule: non-coding RNA, 23 nt
Filed under: Cricetulus griseus (Chinese hamster)
Lineage: Eukaryota; Metazoa; Chordata; Mammalia; Rodentia; Cricetidae
Source: RNAcentral
UCUCUUCAGAUCGUAUAAAUCUU